Long non-coding RNA from Anthonomus grandis grandis, 318 nucleotides. RefSeq lists it as uncharacterized. The record is from RefSeq and is a predicted model, not a curated record. Lineage: Eukaryota; Metazoa; Arthropoda; Insecta; Coleoptera; Curculionidae. The transcript has 3 exons.
UAAUGAAGACAUAGAGCAAAUGGAGAAAGAUGGCAAAGAUUUUAAUGAGGAAGAUAGUUUAUUGUCAGCUGCUUUACCUACCAACUGGAACAAAAUAACCCCAGAAAAGCUUCGCACUCCAAAAUCGAAGCCAUUGAAAACCAUUUUAAAGAAGGCUUGUGCUAAUAAGGAAAAUAAAAAUAUUCUGUCAAAUAAAAUUAUUUCCUGGGCUGCAAAUAAAGCUGAAUUAGUCUCCAAGGAGACAAAAUACCUUGAAAAACAUCUUUUGAGAGUAGAAAUGAUGAAGGAACGCCACAAACAUCAAAUGGCACUAGAAAC